AAAGCUCUCCUGGUUCUGAAUUGUGUGAUUCUCUCAAUUGGAAACUGCGGUGGUCCCUUGGUGAUGCGCCUGUAUUUCGUUCUUGGCGGCGAGAGAAUAUGGUUUUCCAGUUGGUUGGAAACGGUUGGGUGGCCCUUGAUCCUAGUCCCUCUCAUCAUCACUUACAUGCACCGCCGAACCAAGCAAGACUCCCAUGCCAAACUCUUCUUCAUGAAACCUCCUCUGUUCGUGGCCUCCGCUGUUAUCGGUGUCCUCACCGGAUUCGAUGACUACCUCUAUGCCUAUGGCGUAGCAAAACUGCCCGUUUCAACAUCAGCUCUCAUUGUCGCAAGCCAGCUCGCUUUCACAGCAGCCUUCGCGUUCCUCUUGGUGAAACAAAAGUUCACCUCAUACUCCGUAAAUGCCAUAUUUCUGUUGAGUAUCGGUGCCGGUGUCUUGGCUUUACACACUAGCUCCGACCGCCCUACUAAUGAGUCCAACAAAGAAUAUUACCUCGGGUUUGUCAUGACACUUGCAGCUGCAGCGCUCUAUGGUUUCAUUCUCCCCUUGGUUGAAUUAACCUACAAGAAAACAAAGCAGGCAAUAACCUACUCACUGGUCAUGGAGAUUCAAAUGGUGAUGUGCUUCUUCGCCACCGUCUUUUGCACAGUGGGGAUGUUGGUUAAUAAUGACUUUCAGGUGCAUUUCUCUUUUCUCUCCACUCAAUUACCCUAACAUAUUCAACCAGAUAGAAGAUUGAUAAUUUAUGUUUGCUUCUUCCUCAUUUAAUUUUGUAGGCAAUUUCCAGAGAAGCAAAAGAAUACGAGCUUGGAGAAGCUAAAUAUUAUCUGGUGGUGGUAUGGAAUGGGAUCAUAUGGCAGUGUUUCUUCUUAGUAUCAAUAGGAGUCAUCUUUAGCGCUUCAUCUUUGGUAUGCGGUAUUGUGAUUACUGUCCUACUCCCCGUGACAGAGAUCUUGGCUGUUAUUUUCUUCCGAGAAAAAUUUCAAGCAGAGAAGGGGGUUUCACUGGCUCUCUCUCUGUGGGGCUUUGUUUCCUACUUCUACGGCGAGAUAAAGGAUAGCAAGAAAAAGAAGAAUCCCACUUCCGAGACGGAGCUGCCUCAAACGGUCAAUCCAUGACAAACAAAUAUCUUUCUUAUUCCCCGGAAGGCAAGGGACAGGAUUACAUAUAAGCAUUUACCAGGUAAUUUAAAGAAAUACUUCGUCCGUAUGUUAACAGGCAGUUUAGCUGAUUCACCAAAUCUGUGUAAAGGAAAUGCUUGAAUUUCGUUCCUAAAUACAUGCUUGAAUAUUGAAUUUACUUGAAUUCUACAACCGCUGUGAGCGGAACAUGUUGAAAAUGAGAUCAUUUAAUUGUUCUAUAUAAGAUAAUUUCAAGAAUGAGCAAGUCUUGUUUUUUUAGUUUUCAAUUUUAGUGGUUUAUGAAAUCACAGAAAAAAGAUCAUGGGUGUUUUCAAAUUUAGAGUUUUUAUCUACCAUCAACUCAACAACCUCUGAUCCCAAUAACCACUUGCACUCAUUUGGAGGUAGGUGUCAACUACUCUCGUCAACUGCCACAGUAUCAAAUGAACCACAACAACUAUAUUUUCCAUAUUUUGUAGUGGAUGAUAUUGAUAUGAAGCGAAUAAGACGCGAGCUGCGCUCACAGGCUAGGACUUUAAUUGGUGAAGCCUCCCAACUCAUAUAGUCAACUCGCUCGAAAUUCAGUUGUUAAAGUUUUCUAAUAAAUAAAACAGUUAUUUUAAAAUAUAAAAAUUUAAAUUAUAUCAUAAAAUACUAAGGUAAAGAAAUUAGAAAAUACUAAAAUAUCAAUUCCAUAUAUAUCAAGCUUUCGAUUUUGAUCAUUAAAAGUAUAUAAUAAAAUUUAAGCCUGUGAAUAAUGAUUACUACUCAAAAAGUGUUAUUUGAUAGCCUGUAAUUAAUCCUUUUAAACACUUUUGAGUAGUAGUUUAGGCCUUUUAACUCAAUUGGCAUGUUAAGGAUCCUUUAAAGCAAUUUUGAUCACUUUGUGUAAGUUUUGGUGUUUUUGUUAGUAUUUUGAUCACCAAAACAAGUCAAGACUGAGGAGAGCUAUGAGGAAUCUUGGGUAAAGCUUAGAAGUCAUUUUCCAAGAGUGAAUCCGGAUUGCAAGGAGAAAAAGCAAAGAGAAUCUGCCAUAAAGCAUAUUCUUGAUGACAGUCGUAGCAGCCACUUUUAGAGCACUUUAUGAAGUCCAAAUGAUGCAUGCUAUAUACCAUUUUAAAGCUCAGGAAGUCAACAAUCCAAUGCUUCAAACGGUGUGCAAUUCGGAGUUGAAACGAAGAAGUUGCAGCCAUUACAAGCCAAUCACUCCGAGCUGAAGAAAACAUUUUGCAAAGUGCUGCGAAAUCACCCUUUUGUUGCGAAGUGAUUUCGCAGCAUUUUUGUACAGUAAGGUGUUUCUCCUUCUGACGAUGCACGAACCAUGCCGCGAGAAGGGAGCUGGGAACCUCAAGGUGGAAGCCAACUUCGCAGCCAUGUGAAGAUAGCUCGGUGUUGCGAAAUAAUUUCGCAGCCCUCUUGGGUGUCUGCGAAAUUUCGCAGACACCAUAUUUCUCCUGCGAAAUGGUUCCUGAAGCCUCCCGAAGCUUGCUACCGACAUUGGGAGAUAUUUUCCAUUAGAUUUUUGUUGUCUAAAUCCCAAAAUACUCCUUGUAAACCACCAAUUACAUGAUUCCUUAGUUUUUAAGUUAGUAAAAAGACUAAAUAUCUUUGUAACAAUUAGUUUUAUAUUAUGUUGAUAUAUAUACCUCUCGAGAGCCUGUUCUCAGGGAGGAGUUCCUUUUGUAAACCGUUUGGGUAAGCAAGUAAAGGUCUUUUUCUUUCUACUGCCUUACCUUCUCACUUUGUAUUUUCAGUUUAUUUCUAAGUUAUGAAUUCUCUGAGGAGUUUUCCCCAGAGAAUGAGUAACUAAACCUCUAAUUCCUUGGAGCUAAGGUUGCCGGGGAAGGUUCCAAGUGCAAGAAUGCAAAGCUUUGUGGUUUUAGCUAGUAAUGAAGAGGAAGUGAAAUCCUUUAGUGAUUUCUAUGUUUUUAGUUAACUUAAAACACCUUGGAGUUACCUGGGCCAACACUUGGUAAGGCAAGUGAUUUUCAACCAUGGAAAUGCACUAGUUUACCCCUUGCGAGCCUCUGGGAGGUGACUUCAGGGUAGGAUUUUCUAGAAUAGCCAACACUUGGUAAGCUUUUGGACUCCUAGGAGGCAUCCAUUAGUUAUCUCUUGCGAGCUUUUGACGGGUAAUCCAAGGUUAAAGAUCACCUUGAAUGGUUAAGGCUUAGUGAGAGGCUUAAACCAUUGCAAGUUGCAUCAGUGAGAGAAUUAAAGUGAAAUCUAAUUGAAGGAGUCUCUGUACAUCACCGGUUAGAGAAUUGACUAUGUGUUGAAUCUCUAAUGCGAGGAAAUGAACCAUCUGACCAAAGCCGUGUCUUUUGCAUGAGGAACCACCCCAGUGAACCUAAAUCUCUAAGGAAUGCUUUUCUUCCUAAAUUAUUCCAAACUUCUGUUAAGUUAGUUAGUUUAAGUCUCAACUUUUACCAAUCAAAGUUUGUGUUUUACUUCUUAAGCUAACCAUAAAAUGAAACAAGACCAAUUCACUUGGAAUUGGUAUCAUUGAUUGCUUGUUAGUCAUUCCCAGUGAACGACCCUAGAGCCACUAUACUAUAGUAGCUUUUUCUUUGCUACCCUAGUGUAUGGUGUUAUAGGUAAUAAAUUUUGUUGAUCACUUCCUCAAUCAAGGAGCACCAGCUGAACACCAAUCAGCUGAGACACCAAUUGAGCAUGAAUCAAAUAAGAUUACGAAUAUAUGGAUUCAAUAUAUAAACGAGUGGGAUGGAACAUGACUCAAAUGAAUAAGGCAUAAAAAAGACAAAUAAUAAUGAUGCCAGACUAUAUAUGUGAUAAUGAUGAUAGAUUGUAGAUGGAGAUGGAUUUCAUAUAAAAAUAAGGAUUUUAUAUUUAAAAUUCAUUUUUAAAGAAUAAAAUACAUUAAAAAACAGUUAAACAUAAAUCGAAGACUUUUUUACUUUAAAUUUCUCUCAAAAGGAAAUUUUAUAAAUAAAAUAAAUUUAUACGAGUAUUAAUCGACAAAAUUUCAAAUCAACAAUAAUUCUUGCAUUUGUAUCAAACUUUAAAAGAUGUAAGUGAAAUUAAUCCUAUUUUUGGAUUGUUAUUUAUAUCAAAUCUUCCCCAUCUUAAUUCCAACCCAAACCAAACUUGACAUGGAUUGGGUGGAACAACUUUAACAAAACUUCAAGUUGUCAUCUCUAAUGUUAGUUUGGAAUAGAAAAUAAAAAUGAAACAAUUUCAUUCUCCUCUAUUAAUGUAUCCAGACUAUUUAUUACGAUGAAAAUUAGAAUAAAAAGUUCAUUAGUAUAUAAACCAAAUCUGCCUAUGAAUAAAAAAACAGUAGAUAAAUACUCUAAGGUUACUUUGGAAUAGAGAAUAAGAAUGGAAGAAUUUCAUUCUUCUUUAUUAAUGGAUCCAGAUUGUUGUUUACAAUGAGAAUAAGAGAAUUAGAAUAAAAAUUUCGUUAGUAGGUAAACCAAAUCUGCCAAUGAAAAAAAAAGACCACAGAUAAAUCAAAUCUCACUUUUACAAUAAUUUUGAUUCAUUCUUUUGUACAUGAUAGUGUGAUUCACUUUCAUUCUCUUUCUAUUCCACUUUUCUACUUUUCCACCUACCACUCAUCCUAGUCGUAAUGUGAUUAUUGUGUCUCGUAUCUUUGGUAAAGAGAACCAACCGACUAUAUCUCAACAAAGCGUCCAUCAUUUAUGCCAUGCAGCGUACAUCAUGCGAAAGAGCCAAUGAGCGUUUCACAUAUGGUAUAGCAAAACUGCCCAUUUCAACAUCUGCUCUCAUUAUCGCAAGCCAGCUCGCUUUCACAGCAGCCUUUGCAUUCCUCUUGGUGAAACAAAAGUUUACUUCAUACUUCGUAAAUGCCAUAUUUCUUUUGAGUAUCGGUGCUGGUGUCUUGGCUCUACACAAUAGCUCUGACUACCCCGCCAACGAAUCUAACAAAGAAUAUUAUCUCGGGUUUUUCAUGAUACUAGCAGCUGCAACGCUCUAUGGUUUCAUUUUCCCGUUGGUUGAAUUAACCUACAAGAAAGCAAAGCAGGCAAUAACCUACUCACUGGUCAUGGAGAUUCAAAUGGUGAUGUGCUUCUUCGCCACCGUCUUUUGCACAGUGGGGAUUGUUGAUGCCUCGCGUCCCAGGGAUCCACACAGCUGCCAAGUGGACGCGCGCUUUCAACCAAGAAUGAAUUCUGGCUCAGUCGAUCCUGCAAAAGAUGUCCGGACACAUCCUCCGAUGGUUUUGUUAGUCAUGGCUCAAUGGAUCAGGCUGUUGCCCUUUUUUCUGAGUUAGCUGACUUACCUUCUUCUUUGCAUGAAGGUUCUUUUAUAUAGUGUCAGAAGCUCCGCUCCCCUCUUUAAUGGCGGGAAGACUUUUUGGCUUGUCAUGAUGUCCCUGAGGUGAUGGCAGAAUCAUCAUCACCUUCCAAACGGCUGUUAGAAAUCGUGGGAGGUGACUUGUCAUCACUCCUGUCCUUUCGCUCUACAGGCGGCGAAACGUGGGCUAUGACAGGUUGUCUGGGGUGACUCAGCAUGGCUUACUUUUUAUGGUCAAUGAUCCGGACAAUGUAUUCGGAUAGAAUAGAGCACAGUCCGGGUAUAAUAUUUGAGAGUGUCGUGUGUCUCCUUGAGGGACCUGGAUAGAGCUGGCGUGCCAUGUGGACUCUGAGGGGGUCCCUACAAUGCCCCCCUUUUAACCUGGCGAUUUUGUCCUGGCAGAAUGGGUAGGUUAAAAAAAAUGAUGACUUUGAAAGUUUGGUUGUUUUUUGCGUUUAUUGUGCCAUGUGGCGGUGCGGAGGCGAAAAGAAGGAAGAGCAUUUAUGGCGAGCCGCCAUCCUUGGGAAUUCCUAUGCGGCAUGUCGUUUCAAUAGCAGCGUGGCUGGGAGUUUGGAAUACCGAGGGGUUGUCUCCCUUUAAAUAGUAGACCCAGCCCCCACAACUGCAUUUCUUCCUUCUGCAUUUCUGUUGCUAGUGUUUUCGUUUAGGUUCUUUGUGUAUUCUUGCCUGUGAGUGAAGUUCUAGGGCUUUUGCUAGCGACAUUCGCGUCGUGAGGGUGACUGCAUCGCGGCCUUCGUCCUCAUUUGCCAGUUUGCACCAGGUACGUUCUCUAUUUCUACCUUCUCUCCAUUGGGUUUCUUUUUUAUUUUAUCUUGCUUGUUAGGUAGGUUGCUUGCGAUUGAGGGUCGGUGCUGGUGUUUAGGGAUUUUUCCGGGGGGGGGGGGGGGGGGNNNNNNNNNNNNNNNNNNNNNNNNNNNNNNNNNNNNNNNNNNNNNNNNNNNNNNNNNNNNNNNNNNNNNNNNNNNNNNNNNNNNNNNNNNNNNNNNNNNNUUUGGGGUUUUUCCAAGCCACUUUCGGUUGGGGGGGGGGAGUGCUUGGGGCCUUUCUCCUUUUUUUCCCGUUUUCCCCCGGGACCUUUUUUUUUUUCUCCUUUUUCCCCAGGGGUUUUUUUUUUUUUUUUUUUUUCUUUUUUGGGUGGUUGUUUGGGGUUGGGGGGGGGGGGUGGGUUUUUGGGAUUUUUCCGGGGGGGGGGGGGGGGGGGGGUUUGCUUUCGUUUUGGGCCUGUUGGGGUUCCUGUUGCCCCCUAUAGCCUUUGCGGGUGACUGGUCCUACUUUGGGGUAGAGUCAAGGGUUAGGUUGGGGAUGUUGGCUAUUUUAGGCUUUCUGGGCGUUUUUUGCUAUUAGGGUUAUGGGGCCGGGUCCUUCUAUUUUACUGUUGGCAUUUCGCCAUGCAGGUUCCGUUUCGGCCCCAUACUUUAAAAUGCCUGCGAAAAAGGACGUAGCUUCGUCCAGUGCGGUUGGGCCCAGCGGAAAGAAUGCGUCCGGGGUGGUCUAUGCGGAGAAGCCUGUUGACAAGCUGAACGUGAGGCAGUUUUGUGAACGCUUCUGCAUUCCGAACGGCGUAUCCGUUCAGCUUGUGGACGGAGAGGUCGUAUCCACCGAGAAAUCUGUGGACAACGCUAUCUAUUUCUCUAAGGAGCAAUUCAACGCGGGGCUUCGGUUCUUUCUCCCGUCUCUCUUCAAAGAGUUUCUUCACUUCACCAAGAUCCCUCCGGCCUACAUCCAUCCCAACAUAGUCCGGGUGUUGAUGGGGUGCAGCAUUUUGAACAUGUUGUUCAACUUGGAUCUUUUGCUGCUGGGGGUCCAUUUCAUCUACUCCAUCAAGAAGGGGAAAACUGACCUCUUCAACUUGUUUACCCAUAUCCCGUCCCUCCAAUUGGUGACUAAUCUCCCAGAUUCGAUGAAGGGGAGAGCCAAAGGACAUGUACUAGUCAAGGGUGUUUAGGCUGGACUGUCGGAACAUCCGGAGAGAUUGUUUUCCCUAAAUCGUUCACUGGCGCUCCCGGGGUAGGGUAGAUUUUCGAGUUUGUCCGGCGUGCAUUUCUUGUUCUUUUACUUUCGUGUUAUCAGAUGGCUAACUUUUUUGGUUGUGGGCAACGUAGGUAAGUCCAAGAGGGACCGCCUAGUCGAGUGGGUGGAGAAAGCCUCUUUUGAUCGCUUGAACAAGCUGUUCGAGAUUACUGCUACUAAGAGGCAUUAUCAGACGUUGCUCACUACUCGGAACCUGUUGGCAGUUGUCCGGGAGCCUCACCCGUACGUCACCAACAUUCUCCCUAGGCGAUUGCCAAAACGUGUAGUGUCUUGGGAGCAUUUUGUGUUGAAAGAUUUGCCCUUCUACGAGAGGGCUCGCAAGGCUAACACAAAGGCGCGCCAGGAGCGCCUUAACCAGCAAGAGGAGAAGAGGCAGAAGGGGACAUUGAGGAAAGCACCUGGUGAGAAGGGGCGCGACUCUUCCCCAGCCGCCUUCCCCCGGCCACAAAAGAAAAGAAGAAGACGAAGAAGACUCGUGCGCAGGUGCUCUAGAUAGUGGCCCCAACUCUUGAGGCUUCGUCUUCGUCUUGCAGGUCCGAGCCCAAUCAGCCGGACCACACUAUUCCGGAGUCUAAGGAGGUUGAGGAACCUGAGGCCAUCACCAGUUCGCCACAGCUUGAAACCUUCCAUCCGGGGCCUAGCUUUCCCCAGCCGCAGUCGGAGUUUGUUGGCUUGAGGGUCGUGGAUGAGCCAGAGGAAAUGAGAGAUGCAAACGACCUUAGGGCGGGGCUUUUGCAAAGACAUCGACCUUGGCCCCCCCAGUUAAGAAAGUUUGUCCGGAGCAGGGUGGAGAGGACCCGACGCCAGAAUUUUGGCUUCAGCUGUGACUCGUCCAGACGAGGUGGGUAUUAGCGCAACUUCCACGGCUCAGCCGGAUGCCGCAGGGUCUAGCGCGGCGGCAACGGUUCAGGCCAACGCUUCGGGGCCUAGCUCAACGACUGCUGCUCAAUCGAGUACAACUGCCUUCGGCAAUGCCCCGACUGCUGUGGAGACCCAUGCGUCAGAGGGGGUUCCGGAUGCGUCGAACGACGAGAAGGCUUCGGACGAAAAGAGCAGUCCUGCUGUUGCAGUUCCUCCAAGCUAGGAGGAAAUGAUGGAGAUGCUGAAAGGAGUGCCAUGCUUCACGGAUGUAGAGACGCCUUCCACGAGGAUGUCAGACUUCUUCCCUUUGACCAAACGUGUCUCUGUGAACAUGGGUGGGGACCCUCCUGCUUUUGUCAAGGCGCGGCUCCCUUUUGGCGCUCCUGAGUCCAUCGUAUCUUGCAUUCAACACCUAUAGGAAUGGACGAUUCCAGAGACUGUAGAAGUGGUAAAUACUUCUUUGCUGUUUUUCUCUUCUUUCUUAGCAGUUGCUACUUUUCCAUGUAACAUUGUCUGUUGUUUUGUUGUUGCUUUGCCCAUGUUGUAGCCGGCAUCCACUACAUGAUGUGCACACGCGAGCAGCUUUUCAAGCGGCUGGAAUUGGUGGAGGCCAUGCAUGCCUUUAUCUCCCAACAUCCGGGUGGCAUCGAGGAGCUGCGCGCCAAGUUGGAGAAGGUGGAGGCCGAAUUGGCCGCUGCUCGGAAAGCUGUGGCGGAUGGGACGGAGCAACUAGGUCGGGUUGAAGGGGAUAAGGAGACUAUCCGGGCCGAGGCUGACAUCCUGAAGAAAGAAAAGCAAGCCUUGGAGGGCUAAGUCAAUGCAGCUGGGCAGGAGAACCUCCAGUUGAAGAGAGAGACGGAUGAACUCCUGGAUAGCCUUGCCGCCCAGAAGAAGGAGUCAGAGGAUUUGCGGGAGGGUCUGGCGGCUCAAAAGGAGAAAAUGGAGGCUAGGUUCGCCGCUCAGAAGAAGGAGAUGGAGGAGGAAUACCAGAAGCAGGCAGACGAGAUGUAUUUCUUUGGCUACCGUUGUUGUAUGAAGAAACACGGAAUUAUGCAUGAUAUUCCUUCUUUCCUUUCUGAUGAGGAAGAUACAACACCUGGGGGUCCGUCCAGCUGAAACUUCCUUCUGUACAGACUUUAUAAUUUUUCCUCUUUGUUUUGCUGCACAUGGGGCAGUUAUUUUUGUAAAGACACUUUUUACUUAUUUAUAAAUACAUUACAUUUCUUCUGUUUUUUGCUUACUCCUCAUUUCCUUUCAUUGAUAAUACUGCUUAAGAUUGGAUACAUUUCAUGGACGGAGCAGCGAGGUUCCAUCUAGCUUCUAUAGAUGAUAGACUCCACUUUCACUUGUCUUGGACACAAUGUAAGGGUCUUCCCAAUUUGCUUGGAAUUUUCCUGCUCCCUUUUCAGCAGUGUUCUUGAAAACCUUUAUGAGGACCAACGUUCCACCUUUGAAGCUCUUGGGUCGUGCCUUGCGUUUGUAGUGAGCUGCCGCCCUUUGUAGGUAGUCGGUCAUUCGAAUGGAUGCGUUCUCUCUCACUUCAUCCACCCAGUCCAAAUUUCUUCCUAGUUCCACAUUUGCAUCACCCUGUCGUCCUACCUCAAUCCGGAUAGUGGGUAGGCCUAUUUCUGUAGGGAUGACUACAUCCAUACCGUAUGCGAGGGCGAAGGGAGUGUUUCCUGUUGGUCACCCGGGUGUGCUUCGAUAGGCCCAUAGGACGCCGGGUAACUCCUCUACCCACUUCCAUUUGGCUUGCCCGAGCCUCUUCUUUAAGGUAGUUACCAGGGUUUUGUUUUUGCCUCUGCCUGUCCAUUGCUUUGAGGAUAAUGUGGUGUGGAGUAUAAAUUCCAGAUGUUAAGUUCCGAACAGAAAUUCCAGAAAGUGAUGCUAUCAAACUGCGGGUCGUUAUCAGCUAUAAUGGUUUGAGGGAUUCCAAAGCGACAGAUGAUGUUCUUCCAUACGAACUUGGUGAUGUCUUUGUCCUUGAUGCUAGCGUAUGCUUCAUCUUCUACCCAUUUACUGAAGUAAUCUGUGGUGACGAGUAGAAAUUUCUUCUAGGCAACUGCGGCUGGUAGGGGUCUUACUAUGUCCAUCCCCCAUUGCGCGAAGGGUCAGAGGCUAGAAAUUAGUUUUAAUGUCUCAGAUGGUGCAUGCGGUAUGAGGGCAUGCCUCUGGCAUUUGUCACACUUCUUGACAUAAGCUGCCGCAUCUUUCUCAUCGUGGGCCAAUAAUAUCCUUGCGAGUGGGCCUGAUGAGCUAGAGAUCGACCUCUAGAAUGAUUGUCGCACACACCCUCAUGUAACUCAUCCAAUACAUACAAGGCUUCCGAGUGAUCCAGGCACCUAAGGUAGGGGCCUGUGAAGGAUCGCUUGUAGAGGUGCCCCCCGAUUAGGGUGAAACGGGCGGCUUGUACUCAGAUCUUAUGUGCCUGCCUGGGUUCUUCGGGCAAAGUUCCUAUUCGGAGAUACCUUAUUAUGACUUUCGUCCAUUCUUAGCCGUCUGUUUGGCUCGCCUCAAUAGUAUUGCAAGUGGAGGCUUCUGUGAUGGAGGGGUCAGUUUGCACGUGUAUGGGCAAUAAUAUGGCCUCUUUGAUGGGGAGGGAAACGGCUAUCCCUGCCAGGGUGUCGGCACGUCCAUUAUCAGCUCAUGGAAUUUUUUUCGAUUGUUCAUUCGACAAACCGUUGCAGGGUGUCUCUUACUUUAGUCAGAUAUCGCGCCAUGCGUUCAUCUUUGGCUUCGUAUUCCUCCUGGACGUGUCUUACCACGAGUUGGGAAUCACUGUAGAUUCGAAGCUUGGAGACAGAUAAGGCCAAGGCAAGAUCUAAUCCGAAUAGGAUGGCUUAAUAUUCUAUUUCAUUGUUAGACGCGAGGAAUCCCAGUCGAAUAGCUUGCUCUAGCUGUUCUCCCGUUGGGGAUUGCAGUAGGAGCCCUACUCCGGAUCCUGAUGACCGAGAGGCUUCAUCAACCCGCAAGGUCCACCACUCUUCUUCGCAUGGUUCUUUGCGUUGAGCAGGUUUUUGAGAGUAUUUUAGCAUGAAGUCAGCCAUUACCUGCCCUUUCAUGGACAAUCUCGGUUGGUAUUCAAUUUCGUACUCGCUCAACUCUAUGGCCCAUUGAAGCAUUCUUCCGGUCAGGUCCGGCUUGUGCAGGAUGUUGCGAAGGGGCUGGUCGAUCAGCACGACCACUGGGUGGGCUUGGAAGUAAGGGCGGAGCUUCUAGGCGGCACUUCGAAUGGCCAAAGCUGUUUGCUCCAUCUUUGAGUACCUUGUUUCUACGUCAGUCAAUGCCCUGCUAACAUAAUAAAUAGGUUUUUGCUCCUUAUGCGAGGGGCAGUGGAAUAAAACAGCACUAAUUGCCCACUCUGAUACAGCCAGAUACAUAUACAAUUUUUCUCCAGGGAGGGGGCUGCUUAGAAUGGGUAGUUGUAUGAGGUAGUGCUUGAUUUUCUCGAAAACGCUCUGGCAGCUGUUCGUCUACCCGUUCGCAUCGGCUUUUCGUAUUGCCAAGAAGAAGAGUCGCAAUUCAUCAGUGAAGCGGGCUAUGAAACGCCCUAGUGCGACAAGCUUGCUUGUGAGGCGAUGUAAUUCAUUUUUGCUCCUAGGGGGUGGUGUUUCCAUGACUACCUUAACUUGAUCCCUCUUUGGCUGACCAUGAACCUUAGGAAUUUUCCAGCACUUACGCCGAAAGCGCAUUUGGACGGAUUCAGUUUCAUGUCAUACUUCCUUAAGAUGUGGAAGACUUCUUGUAAGUGAAAGGCAUGUUCACUUCGGGUUUUGCUCUUAACCACGAUAUCAUCGAUGUAUAUCUCCACUGUGCGGCCAACUAGAGGUUUGAAGAUCUUCGUCAUCAAUCUCUAAUAGGUGGCGCCAUCGUUUUUAAGUCCGAAUGGCAUGACUUUAUAACAAUAAAGCUCAUGCAGCGUUAUAAAGGCUGUCUUUUCUUCGUCGACCGGAGCUAUGGGGAUUUGGUGGUACCCGGAGAAGGCAUCCAAGAAGGAGAGCAUUCCCUAUCCGGCGGUGGAGUCUACGAUCUGGUCUAUCCGUGGUAGAGGGAAACUGUCUUUUGGGCAUGCGUUGUUGAGGUUGGUGUAAUCGACGCACACUCGCCAUUUGCCUUCUUUUUUGGGGACCACUACUACAUUUGCUAACCAGUCCGGAUACUCCACUUCUCUAAUAAAUCCGACCUCCAGCAAUUUGUCAAUCUCAUCCUGGAUAAUUUUUUGCCUGUCUGGGUGAAAAUGUCUAACCCUCUGUCGGACAAGUCUUGUUGUUGGCAAGACGUUAAGCCUAUGAGAGGUGAUUGAAGGGUGGUUCCCUUCAUGUCAAAAUGCGGCCAUGCAAAGACGUCAUGGCUUUGUCGGAGGGCGUCGUGGAUGUCUUGUGCUUCUUCGGGUGUCAAGAGGGAACUGAUAUGUGUGAGGUGAGUACUUUCUUCCGAUAUCUUGAUUGUCUGCAAGGGAUUCACUGCCGAGGGAUCUUUGUCCUCCGGAUUCAGUAAUUGUUAUUGGUCAAGUGCGCUGGUGGGUUCAGGGAGGGGCUCGUCGCCCUUGCUGAUCCCACCUUCUAGCACUAUCUGAUAGCACUGGCGGGCAGCCAACUGGCUACCGUAUAGAUUGGUUUGUCCAUCUUUAGUAAGAAAGCUCACCAUCUGAUGGUACGUGGAAGGGAUUGCUUUCAUAUAGUACAACCACGCGCGUCCUAAGAUGACGUUGAAGGGGGACAAAUCUCCUACCACUGAAAAUUGUACGUUAAGGGUGACUUGGACUGGCAGCACAAUGUCUCCAAGGGAGGUGGUUGCUACGCCAUUAAAUCCCAACAAGACCCACCCAGGAUUUUCUAAGUCGGAUAGUUCGAGACCCAUUUGAUUAACUACUGAUGCCUGCAAAAGAUCGAUCGAGCUUCCUGGGUUGAUUAGGAUCUAUCUUACAUCAAAGUCUCCCAUCACCAGAGAUAGGAUGAGGGCGUCACGGUGCGGUUGUAGUAUUCGCGUGGGAUCUACGGGAGGAAAAAUGAUUGUCCCAUCUACUGGCUGGGCACUUCCCUCAGUUGCUCCGGUCUAAAUGGUAUUGACGCGCUCGCGUACCGAUGUCGCCCGCAGCAACUUCUGCCUCUUUCUUUUGGAGUUGUACUCCUCAUCCAGAGGUCCUCCAUGAAUAUAAUUGAUGAUGGCUUUGGGGGAGAUUGGGGUCCUGAGGGACCCGGAAUCGCGAUUUCGGGGGGUAUCUCUACCUCUGGCAUCUGAGCAGAGGUAUUGCUUCAAAUGUCCCACUUUUAUGGGCCUUUCCACCAAAUACUGGAGACUCCUGCACGUCUUCAUAGUGUGACCAUGCUCCUUAUGGUAGGCACACUUCUGGCAAUGAUCUCUUUUGGCUGGGUCCGUUCUGAGGGGUCCGGGCCACCUGAAGCCGGACAGGUCCUGGAUCAUAGGGAGGAGUUUCUCAUAUGAUAUGGAAAGGGGUGUGAGUGGUGGCAGUUCUGGGCGACUGGGCUCUCCCUGCCUUCGUUCGGACGGCCUUGACCGGUCUAGAAGUUUGGAACUUCUUUCCGCACCGGUUCUGUAUGUCUGCCCAGCAACCAAAAUUUGUUGGGUGGCCGCACGCACGUCGUCUUCCAGCAUUGAGUAUUUGCUCGCGCGCCGGAACAGGUCAUCCAUUGUCGUGGGAGGCUUCUUAGCGAGCGACUUGAAGAAUGGAGUGCCUGGGCAUAUGCUUCGUUUGAAGAUCUGAAGGACAACAUCCAUGCUAUAAGCCUCUACUUGUAACACAGCUUGACCGAACCGUUUCACUAAUUCUCUCAAAGACUCAUUCUCCUGCAUUUUUAUGUUUUGCAGAGUGCUGAUGUUCUGUUUAUGCCGAGCGGAACACAAGUAUUGCCCCACAAAAGCUUCCGACAGGUCCCUGAAGUUAUCAACAGAGUUCGGGGGUAGUCGGUGAAACCAUGAGAGAGCCUGACCUUGUAGGCUGGUGGGGAAUACUUUGCAUAGCAACGCGUCGUUUCCUAUAUCGAGAGUCAUGAGUUGUCGAUAAUGCAUGAUAUGGUCGAAGGGAUCGCUGGACCCAUCAUACGUGGAAAAUUUUGGUACGAGAAAUCUCCUUGGGGAGUCGUAAUGAAUAAUAUGUGAGCAAAAAGGCAUGGAAAGCAUGUCAUCCAGCCUCUUGCUGAUGGAGCCAGUGGGUGGCUCAUUUGGAGAGUUUCUUCCAGCUUGUCGUACCGCUUGGUGCGGGAGGAUGUUCUACACAACGAGUGCGAUCAAAGGGUUAGGGUACGCUUCCCAAGUUGUGGCCACUGGUGGCCUUAUCUUCCCAGGCUCCUGUGGGCCUAGCCUUGCGCGCAUCGCGUCCGACAGUUGGGGUCUCUUGUCGCGUUGUCUCUUUGAUGAGAGAUGAGUAGAAUCUAAGCUUUCAUCCUGGGGAGCUUGGUGCAUGGGCGUGGGCCGUUCUUGAGGUUGAUUAUUGCACCUCAGGAAUGACCCCCGCAAUCCCAAGAUAUAUCGAUUCUGGAUCAGGCCUCGAAUUUGCUCCCUGGCCUCUUGAGCGCUGGCCAUGAGAAGGCCCCGUCGAUGAAGCCUGGAUGCGUAACACAGUGUUUUCUUCUCUCAAUCUCGUUGUUUCUUGGAGGAGAGCCUGCAUUUGUCGCUUACUCUCCAACUUUCGUCUUUCCAUGGCUUCACGCCAUUCGAAAUAACCUUCACCUCCUCUAGCCGACGAGUGGCUCCUAGAAGGUGUGGACAUCUUCGCCGUCGACUGAGCAAAGUGUUCCCACAGACGGCGCCAAUGUUGAUGCCUUGCGUCCCAAGGAUCCACGCAGCUGCCAAGUGGACGGCGCUUUCAACCAAGAAUGAAUUCUGGCUCAGUCGAUCCUACAAAAGAUGUCCGGACACACCCUUCGAUGGUUUUGUUAGCCAUGGCUCAAUGGAUCAGGCUGUUGCCCUUUUUUCUGAGUUAGUUGGCCUACCUUCUUCUUUGCGUGAAGGUUCUUUUAUAUAGUGUCAGAAGCUCUGCUCCCCUCUUUAAUGGCGGGAAGACUUUUUGGCUUGUCAUGAUGUCUCUGAGGUGAUGGCAGAAUCAUCAUCACCUCCCAGGAGGCUGUCAAAAAUCGUGGGAGGUGACUUGCCAUCACUCCUGUCCUUUCGCUCUGCAGACGAUGAAACAUGGGCUGUGAUUUUAGUUAUCUCCGUCGGUGAAGCUUGAGGAGGAAAAAACAAAACACAAGGUCAUUUCGAUACUCUACGUACUCUUUAGGCUUUACCUGGACAUUAAGAAGAUAAUCAAAGAUUCCAAAGCAGAAUAUGACGAGAGGGAGGUUUGUGGUUUGGUACGUAUUGUAGCUUCAGAUUUGGUCUGUCCCAUAGAGUAAAAGUGAUGGUCCCCAGUUUAAAGCAACGAGGUAAUUUUAUCAUUGAAUUUGCUAGAUUUAGAAGGAUUCAUCGUUUCAAUAUGAUGCCACUUAUUAAUUGUUUCCCGGUAUUCCAGACAUGCUCUUGCUUACAACUCCAAGACAAACGCAUCUCUUUAGAGGCACUGUCCUUGAGAAAUGGUGAUGUUCCUCCAAGCUGUGAGAAAAUCCAAGGGGUUUUUCCCGAGGAUUCUCAAUGUGUGGCCCCGUUGGGUUGAACUGUCCGGGUUAGAAGGUGGAGUGGACUGGGUUGGCUCAACCAUCUCGGAAUAUGGAUUCUGCGUCAAGGGUUCGGCUGCAUCAUGUUGGAGAUGGACUGAUUGGCCCAUGUUUUUGUAAGGGAGUCGAAUCUCAGAGACUGGGCCUAGAUUGAGAAAUUGCAACCAUGCAAUAAAGCCCGUGUGACGUGCUCUUGGAGAUCAAAACAUGAUCCGUAUAACAAACAACCUACUGCCGACCUACACCACAGAUCGUGGUGCUGGCCACCCGUACGGUCUAGAGACCACAUGUACAAGCUCAUGACGCUAUUCCUUCCUAUCACCAAUUUGGAAAUGGCCCACCUAAGAAACAUGUAGCCAUGAUCAAACGGGAAUCCCAUGAUGAGAAAUUGUAGAGAAGAGUUAAAAAUAAAAAAUAAAAAGAAGAAAAAAGAAAGGUCAAUACCACUCGAUCAGGUUCCAGAAAAGGGCAUGUGGAAUAAGAAAUUAAUGCACUGAACGCGAACCAUGGCAGUCCCUCUAUGACAACACCAGUUAAUAGUCGUGUUGUGUCCCCACCUUCUGGAAAUGCCAUCCCUCCCACCAAAUCUCGGUAAUCAAAAUAAAAUGGGUUAUUAUCUUCAACUGCUUGCGUGCCCAAAUCAAUCACGUUUCCGAUAAGCAGUAUAGUUAGUUCUCUCAUUAACAUUUCUUCAGGAUCAAGGAUAUUAUUGAUUUUCAUUGACUUGCUCCUAUUUUGCAUUGGUUGAUGGAGAUAAACACACACAUAUUAAUCCUGAUCUUAAAAAUUGGUAUUAAAUCUGUUCAAGGAACCUAGUCAAGGAAAGCAUAAUCUUGAUUGAAACCUUGCACGCACAGCAUUGUCCACUUGUGGUUUAGCCUGGAUGCUUCUGAAAGCAUCAUGAAUGGAUUCCGAGACUUGUGGUUUAUGCCUGCAUGUUUCUGAAAGCAUCGUGGAUAGGUUCCAAGACCUCAUCAUUACUAGUUUCCCACCCCAAAAUUCCAAGAAGCCACCAAAAUACUCCUUUGAAUGGCUGCACAGGAUUUACACACUAGAAGAAGCCAAAAAAAUGAGACCCUUGGCUGAAGCAUAAUUGGACCCUUGUAAGUCUUUUACUAGAAGAAGCCAAAAAAAUGGGACCCUUUGGCUGAAGCAUAAUUGGACCUUUGUAAGUCUCUUAAUAGAAGAAGCCAAAACAAUGGGACCCCUUGGCUGAAGCAUAAUUGGGACUCUUCAGGCACAUACGGCAUGUGCAAAUAUCUAGAUAUUUUAAUCCCAAGUAAAAUGAUGCUCCUUUUUUCGUAUUCUUUUGUUUGACGUAUGCAUCAGGAUCGGACCGCAUCUAUGUUAUUUUUUAUUCCAAAUUUCAAAUAAAGACGAGACUUCGCUACAAAAUUGUCAACGCCUUUGGGACCCAUAAACCUUUUCUCAAACAAUGAUUAAAGGCAAAUUUUUGUAUUGAUAUAAUGCAACUAGCCAACCAUAUGGGUGUAAGGAUGAGCAUGCAAUCCCAUCAAAAUGGCUUCUGGACCCACACUAUCUUAGUUCGUGGCAGUCAAAUCGCAAUAUAAUAGACGGGGAGUGUUAGAUUUUCUUAAUGAGGUCCAGAAGUCUUGUCCAUAAUCUUUAGGAAUAAUACUAGACUUUGUCAAAUGGGUCUAAAAAUCUAACCCAUAAUAUUUUGACAUUUCCGUCUAUGUAAUCAUGGUUAGGUCCCUAAUUCUUUAACCUCUAUUCACACACAUGUAUCAUCGUUUAAGAUUGAUUAAAAGUUUAAAAACAUCACAACUUAUUUCAAUAUCAAAUUUGAUUUUCGAAUUCCUGAACUAUCAACUAUAGAAAAUAUGUUUUGAUUCUUCAUUUAUUUUUAUAUUUAAUAUAUGUCAUUAAGGUUUUAAGCAUAUUUAGAUUGAUUUUAACACUUAUAAUUGGUAUUAAAACCAUUUUAUUGUCUCUACCUUAAUUAUGUGCAACCUAAAAAAAUUGAUUAUGUGCCUUAAUUAUUUUCUUUUAAUCCUUAUGGUAAAAAAAAUUUCUUACGAAUUUGGAAGAAAACUGUUUGUAUUAUGCUUUUGAAAGAUGAAGAAGUCAAGUUUUGGGCAUGAAAAAUGAGGGCUAUUAAUAUCCAAUCGAUCCCUACCUCCCCUUACAACUUUUACAGUGCAAUGGCCUAGCUAUACCCCUAUUGAUGGGAGCAAGUUGUAGAGUUAUGAUUGUAUGUUGUCCAUAUUAUAGAGAUUUUGAUAUAGUGGUUUAUAGUUUUGAAUCAUUCUUUACAACUUGUAACAAUUGUAUCAUUAUUCCUUUUAAGAGAAAAGGGGUAUAUAGUGGUUAAUAUGUCCUUGUCAACACCCUUUAAAAUCAAAUCCCACAUUUUCUUCAUAAAGUAAUAUAGAUUAGGUACGAACUUCCAGUUUUUAAAUCUGGAAAGCUAUCAAAAAUUAGACAUUUAUACCAAUAAAAAAUAUGAAAAUUUUCCAGAAAUUUAAAAUUUUGGAUAUUUUGUGAAAAUUUCAUAAAUUUGGUAUUUUUGUGAAAAAAAAAAAUCAUAUUUUUGGUGUUUUUAUGAAAAAUACAUAAAUUUGGCAUUUUAUGAAAACCAUUUUGUGGAAUUAAAAUUUGGAUAUUUAUGUGCUUAAAAUCAUGUCUUUUUUGUAUGUAUAAUUUAUUGUUUUCAUUAUAUAUGUAAUUUGAAUUUUUACUAUAUAAAUUUAAACAGUGUUCAUAUAUGUAAAUAUUGCUUAUGGUUGCAUGCAAUUUAUAUAAACAGUUUUGUGAAUAAAAUUAAAUAUCUAUUGAUCUAUAUAAUUUUAAUUAAUUAGGGAUUAGCCACAACAUCUUUAAUUAUGUAAAAUUAUAUAUUAAGUACUUUAGGAUCACAUAUAUAAAAAUGACAUUGAUUGUAAUUAAUCAUAUUUAAAUAUAAUAAAUUUUAUCCUUUAUCAUAUUUGUAUUAUUAAUAAUGAUAGAAUAUCAAAUUAUAUUCUUAAUUUACCUAUAGGAAUUAGGAAAGGAACAUAAUUGAUAGUUUUAUCAUAAAGUUAGAUGAAUCUAAUUGAAUUAGAACUUUAGUACACAUACAAGUUUUAUGUCACUACUUCAUAUUUUUGAAACAUGAUUUAUAUUGGUAAAACAUGAUAUAUAUUUAUUAACCUCAAAUUACUAUUAUAUAAGCAUGUAUGUUUAAUAUUUAUGCAGUUAUGCAAUCUGUGAAUUUUUCCGAUAUAAGAUGUGAUAUUCUUGAACUAAAGGGUGACAACUACAAAGUAUGAAAGGAAAGAAUUCUCUUUCAUUUGAGGUAGAUGGACAUUGAUUAUGUUAUUAGGAAAGACGAACCAAGCAUUACCACAACUAGCACUGUAGAUGAAAAGGCUCUUUAUAAAUGAUGGGUGUGAUCCAAUUGCCUUAGUGUGAUGUUCAUAAAAAACAAAAUCUCUACUGGUAUUCAAUGUUCAGUUGAUCAACAUGAUAAAGUUAAGGCAUUAUUAAAGGCUACUGAUGAACAAUUUCAAACUUCAGAUGAGACACUUGCCAGUACCUUGAUUAUGAAGUUUUCAUCCUUAAGGCUCACCAGUGUAAGAAGUGUAUGUGAACACAUCAUGCAAAUGAGGGACAUUGUAACUCAACUAAAAACUCUUGAGGUUGAAAUGUUUGAAUCUUUCCUUGUGCACUACAUACUGAACACUUUUCCACAACAACUUCUGACCAUGUGUGUUCAAGAGGUAUGGAGGUUGGUAAUGGAAAUUGGUGAGAAUGCAUUAUUCGCAAAACAAGGAAAUAACCAAAACCAAGCCAAAAAAAAAAAAAAAAAAGGAAAGGUAAAAUACUGCCCCAAUGAGAAAUAAAAAAAGAAUCCAAGUGCUUCAUCUGCAAAAAGAAAGGACACAUGAAGAAAAAUUGCUCCAAAUUUCAUAAAUGACUUGAGAAAAAAGGUAAACCAAUCUCAUUUGUUUGUUAUGAAUCUAAUAUGGUUGAUGUUAAGCAUGACACAUUGUGGAUUGAUUCUAGUUCUACAAUCCAUAUUUCAAAUACCUUGUAGGGUACACAAAACCUAAGGAAGCUAGUGGGAAGUGAGUAGUGCAUCUAUUCAAGAAACAAGAUGCAUUCAUAUGUAAAAGCUCUUGGAACAUGCACUUUAGUUUUAAGUAGUGGUUUUGUUCUAAAUUUGGAAAAGACAUUUUACAUUCCAAGUUUUUCUAAGAAUUUGAUUUCAGUUUCAAGACUUGUUCCUUUUGGUUAGUCCUUUUAACUUUUCAAAAACAUCAUUUAGUUUAUUUUAUAAAUCUAAUCUUGUUGGGAAUGGUACAUUGUCUAAUAGUCUUUUCUUUAUUAAUUUGCAAAAUGAUACUACUCAUAAUGUUAUGCAUCUUCACACUGGUGUUAAACGAUGUGUUAUGAAUGAAGAUUCCUUUAUGUUAUAGCACCGAAGAUCAAAACAUAUCUCAAUAGAAAGAAUUAAGAGAUUAGUAAAUUAUGGAGUAUUUAGUACUUUGGAUUUUACUGAUUUUGAUAUUUGUAUGAACUUCAAUAAGAGAAAAUAGAUCAACAAGUAAAAAAAAAUGUGCUAAAAGGAGCAUAGACAUAUUGAAGAUCAUACAUUCAGACAUUUGUAGUCUAGACAUGGACUCAUAUGGUCUAAAAUACUUCAUCUCUUUCAUAAACGAUUACUCAUGAUACAUGUAUCUCUACUUGCUUCAUAACAAGAAUGAAACAUUAAAUGUUGUCAAGUUUUUAAGGCCAAAUUAGAAAAUCAAUAUGGAAACAAAUUAAGAUAAUGAGAACAAAUAGAGAUGGAGAAUAUUAUGGUAAAUACACUAACGAUGGACAAACACCCGGUCCAUUUGUGAAGUUUCUUCAAGAGCAUGGGAUAGUUGCCCAAUAUACCAUGUAUGGUUCUCCAUACUAGAAUGGCAUAGCAGAAAAAAUAAACUGAAUGUUAUUGGACAUGAUACAGAGUAUGCUUAGUAGCUCCAAGCUUAUUAAAUCCUUGUAGACUGAAGCUUUUAAAAUGACAAUGUAUAUAUUGAACCGAGUCCCAACUAAUGUUGCCCUAAAAACGUCAUUUGAAUUAUGGAAAGAUUGGAAACCGAGUUUGCAACAUAUACGCAUUUGGGGAUGCCCAUUUGAAGUAAGAGUUUACCACCCACAAGAGAAUAAACUAGACCUAAGGACCAUUAGUGGAUUUUUCGUUGGAUAUGCAAAAAGGUCUAAAUGGUACAUAUUCUACUAUCCCACAACACUAGGAUUGUGUAAUCAAGAAAUGCAAAAUUCCUUGAGAAUGACUUGUUCAAUGAGAAUAUCAAACCUAAAGCAUAGUCUCUGAGAAAGAUCAAUCUUCCAUUUCAAGUGAAAGGUUGGUUAUUAUUCACAACACCUCUCAAGUUCAAAUGGGAGUUGAGCAACCAAUCGUUGAAGUUCCACAAGCUAUUGAGAAUAAUCCAAUAGAUUAAGUUGUUCAGGAAAUGCCAAAAAUUGUUGAACAACCAAUUGAACAACAUAAUCCUCAGGAAAAUUUUGAUUCAACAUUAAAGAGAUCUACUAGAGCAAGGAAAUUAGCAAUUCCUAGUGAUUAUGUUAUGUAUCUAAAAUAAUUGGAUUAUAACAUUUGAGCCGAAAAUGAUCUUGAAACAUUUUCACAAGCCAUUAGUUGCGAAAGAUCAAAUUUAUGGUACAAUGCCAUGAAGGAUGAGAUGAAUUCUAUGGCAUCUAACGAAGUCUAGAAUCUUGUUGAGUUGUCUGAUAGUGCAAAAGUCAUAGGAUGUAAAUAGGCUUUUAAGACAAAAAAAGACUCAUUGGACAAUAUUGAAAGAUAUAAAGCAAGACUUGUUGCUAAAAAAUUCACUUAAAAGGAAAUAAUCGACUAUAAGGAGUCCUUCUCUCCUAUAUCUAAGAAAGAUUAUUUUCGUAUUAGUAUGACAUUGGUUACACAUUUUGAUUUAGAGGUACAACAAAUGGAUGUGAAAAUGGCUUUCCUUAAUAAAGAUCUAAAGGAAGAAGUUUACAUAAAACAACCAAAAGAAAUUUCCUCUAGAGAUGGUGAGCAUUUGGUGUGCAAGCUCAAGAAAUCCAUAUAUGGAUUGAAACAAGUCUCCCGUUAGUGGUACUUGAAAUUCCAUGAUGUUCGUUAUCUCUUCGUGUGGGUCUGUAGAGAAUAGUAUAAAUCAAUGUAUAUACCAGAAAGUUAGUAAGAGUAAAAUAUGUUUACUUAUUCUAUAUGUGGAUGACAUUUUACUUGCAACUAAUGAUAAGGGUUUGCUACAUGAGGUAAAACAAUUUCUAUUUAAAAACUGACAUGAAAUAUUUGGGUGAUGCUUCUUAUGUCAUUGGCAUUAAGAUACAUAGAGAUAGAUUUUGAGAAAUUUUGGGUUUGUCUCAAAAAACCUAUAUCAACAAAGUUUUAGAGAGAUUUUGGAUAAAAUAUUGUUCACCAAGUAUAGCUCCUAUUGUGAAUGGUGACAGGUUCAAUUUGCACUAGUGCCCAAAAAAUGAUAUUGAAAUGAAACAAAUGAAGAACAUUUCAUAUGUUUCUGUUGUUGGAAACUUAAUGUAUGCUCAAGUCUACAUAAGACUUGACAUUACAUUUUUUGUUAGGAUGUUAAGAAAAUAUCAAAGUAAUUCAGGUACAAACCACUGAAGAGUUGCAAAAAAUGUGUUAAGGUGUUUUCAAGGGACGAAGGACUACGUACUUAUGUAUAAACGGACUAAUAAUCUGGAGGUGAUUAGCUACUCAAAUUCAAACUUUGUUGGUUGUGUUGAUUCACAAAAAUCAACUUCUAGAUUCAUUUUUAUGUUCGUUGGUGGAAUUGUAUCCUGGAGGAGUGCAAAGCAAACUUUGUCUACUACUUCCACUAUAGAGGCUGAGUUUAUAUCUUGUUUUGAGGUUACCUCGCAUGGUGUAUGGAGGAAAAGUUUCAUUUUUUAACUUAGAAUUAUAGAUUCAAUUUCUAAGCUAUUUAGGAUAUAUUGCAACAAUUUAUGUGUAGUUUUUAUGGCUAAAAACAAUAAAAGUGGUAGUCGAAGCAAACACAUCAACAUCAAGUAUUUAGUCAUAAGGGAACAUGUUAAGAAGAAAAUAAUGGUUAUUGAAUACAUCAGCACUGAGUUGAUGAUAGUUGAUCCUUUGACAAAAGGCAUGCCACCAUUGAAAUUCAAGAAUCAUGUGAAUAGAAUGGGACUUCAUUCCUUUAUAUGAUUUUCGUUGUAAUAAUGAAUGUUAUUUGUGAUGAAACUUUAUUAAUGUGAUAAUAUUUUCUCUUAUUUGUUUCUAAUUUGUAUACACAUUCAUUCAUUUGAGAAAUAUUACUAAUGUUUGGACCUGAAAUAAACCUUAGGCUUAUUCAUUAAGUAAUGAAGGCAAGUGUUUAAGAGACAUGAUGCAUUGUGAUACAUGGAAGAUAAUACUUGUUUCAGAGAAUCUAUUGUCAUGAUUUGUGUAUUUUGUUUCUUACUAUGGUGAAUGAUGGAAUAUAUAGACCAAGUGGGAUAAUAUUAGAUUUUCCUAAACAGAUCUAGAAAUCUGGCCUAUAAUCUUCCAUUAAUUUUGGGAAUAAUGCUAGACUUAAAUAGGUCUAGAAAUGCUGUCUCUAUUAUUCUAGAAUUUCUAUUGAUUUAGUUUUACAUUUUUAUUGUCAUUAACAACCAUAAAUAAAUUAUGGUAUUGACUCUGUGAUGGGCAGGGUAAAUAUAAAUAGAGCCUUCGUGGUUAGGUCUCUAAGCUUUUGACUUCGAUUUUUAUUCAAAUACAUAUACACUAUUGUUUAAAAUUGAUUAAGAGUUUAGAAGCACCUCAACCCAUUUGAAGAUCAAAUUUGAUUUCUAAAUUCUCAAAUUGAGGUAUGUUCCUCUUCUCCUUUAUUUCCGCAUUUGAUAUAGGCUACACUGGAAGGACCCAGUGUUGUCUCUAUAAUUGACUCUUAUUUCGUCGUCAUGUUUCCGCCUCAAAAAACCCCGAUUCCUUGUUUACACACUGCUACCAAAGGGGAUAGAUUCCUUGUUUACACACUGCUACCACAGGGGAGAGAGGAGGAGAGCUACCAACCAAACAAUGGAGGUUGAAGCUCAGCUGAGCAGCAACACGAGGAAGGCUCUGCUGGUUCUGAGUUGUGUGAUUCUCUCAAUUGGACACUGCGGUGGUCCCUUGGUGAUGCGCCUAUACUUCGUCCGUGGCGGCGAGAGGAUAUGGUUUUCCAGUUGGUUGGAAACGGCUGGGUGGCCCUUGAUCCUAGUCCCUCUCAUCAUCACUUACAUGCACCGCCGAACUAAGCAAGGCUCCCAUGCCAAGCUCUUCUUCAUGAAACCUCCUCUGUUCGUAGCCUCCGCUGUUAUCGGUGUCCUCACCGCCCUCGAUGACUACCUCUACGCUUAUGGCGUAGCAAAACUGCCCGUUUCAACAAUUGCUCUCAUCAUCGCAAGCCAGCUCGCUUUCACAGCAGCCUUCGCAUUCCUCUUAGUGAAACAAAAGUUCACCUCAUACUCCGUAAAUGCCAUAUUUCUCUUGAGUAUUGGUGCUGGUGUCUUGGCUCUACACACUAGCUCCGACCGCCCUGCUAAUGAGUCCAACAAAGAAUAUUACCUCGGGUUUUUCAUGACACUUGCAGCUGCAGCGCUCUAUGGUUUCAUUCUCCCCCUGGUUGAAUUAACAUACAAGAAAGCAAAGCAGGCAAUAACCUACUCACUGGUCAUGGAGAUUCAAAUGGUGAUGUGCUUCUUCGCCACCUUCUUUUGCACAGUGGGGAUGCUGGUUAAUAAUGACUUUCAGGUGUAUUCCUCUUUUCUAUCCACCCAGUUACCUUUAACACAUUCAACCAGAUAGAACCACCAAAAACAAAGAUUGAUAAUUUAUGUUUGCUUCUUCCUCAUUUAAUUUUGUAGGCAAUUCCCAGAGAGGCAAAAGAAUACGAGCUUGGAGAAGCUAAAUAUUAUCUGGUGGUGGUAUGGAAUGGGAUCAUGUGGCAGUGCUUCUACUUAGGAGCAAUAGGAGUCAUCUUUUGCGCUUCAUCUUUGGUAGCCGGUAUUGUGCUUGCUGUCCUACUCCCCGUGACUGAGAUCUUGGCUGUUAUUUUCUUCCACGACAAAUUUCAAGCAGAGAAGGGGGUUUCACUUGCUCUCUCUCUUUGGGGUUUUGUUUCAUACUUCUACGGCGAGAUAAAGGAUAGCAAGAAAAAGAAGAAUCCCACUCCGGAGACGGAGCUGCCUCAAACAGUCAAUCCAUGAUAAACAAAUGUCUUUCUUUUCCCCACAGAAGAGGGGGGACAGGAUUCGCAUAUAAGCAUUUACUAGGGAAUUUAAAGAAACACUUCAUCUGUAUGUUACAGGCAGUUCAUAACCAAGACUAAAGUGGGUUUCUUUCCAGUUUUGAGAUGAAGGAAUUCCAAUAAAAUAUGGACUGUAAGGUCAAGGCGUGCUAAAUGUGAAGUCGAUACAGAGUGGGAAAAUAUGACAUAUUUUGAGACUUAAUAGUCAUAUCCAAUUUCUAUUAUCUAUAAUAUUAUAUAGUAUUAUAAAAUAAUCUCUCUCAUCCUUGGAUAUGGUUAAACUAUGUUAAAAUUUGAGUAUUCUGUUUAUGGUUGGUUUUAUCUCUGUAUGUUCUUAUUACAGCUUCCACUUAACACAUCAACUUAGUAUUAAAACCUUGGUUGAAUAUUUUUUAGAAGAACCAAAGAUAAUAGAAGAUUGUGGUCCAUGAAAAAAACCCUAACACACACUAUCAAUGUACAAUAGUGUAUACCAUAAAUAAAUAAAAAAGAAGAAAUAUUCACUUAAACGAAAUUUUUAACAGUAGAAAUGGUUGAAAAAUGCUUCCAAUUCCUAAAGAAUAUUUUAAAUAUUGAUUGGGAACUUGCAACAUUUCCCAAUAUUAGAAUCAAUAAGGAAACGGUCUUACUGAGAAAGAAUUGAAGUCAUCGUCAUCCAGGCAAGAUGAUGGGCCAUUAAGGUUAGGUUGGGAUCAAGAGAAGCUGGAUAUGGAUUGUUUUGUUAAUCCAGUAUAACUUAAAAGCUUAAUUAAGUUAUGUAAUAGUGGACCAACAGUGCACUUUGCACUGAUUUGGGUUACAUGUUAGGGUCGUAGCCCAAGUAGGUUGAUAUAUGAUGGUGGACCAACAACUGCAUGCGAAUGAAUGGCUAUGUGAAUUUCCUAAGACUCGGUUCAUUUCAACUUCUACUGAUUGCAUCGAAACUUUCGGGAAGAAUUGGCGUAUGGAUCUUCCCUAAAUGGGUGUUGACGCCGCCAAAAUAGGCACCUCCAAAUACAUGGCCUUAAGCCACCUACAGCAUAGCCGCCCAAGACGCAAGCAUCUGUAGCUAUCCAAAACGAGCUCGGCUAAAAAUAAGUGCCUGCAUAUGAGAUAUGACUCACAUCCAGGACUGGCAGGUUGACCGAACUGACCCUCAAAAGAAGGCCUCACCAACUCUUAAACAUUAUCGGAACAGGCUGGCAGGCUUUAACACAUGCCCUAACCAUAUAAACGUAAAAAAAAAAAAAAAGAAAAAAAAAAAGAAGAAGAUCAUAAUAAGACAAAAAGGGGAGAAAGAAAUUCUCUCGUCUACAGGUGUCGAAGCUUCAUUCAACACAGAGUUGUAAGAUUACCAAUGUUGGGUGCAGACCUAUCCUUUCUAGUUAUCUCCGCCGGUGAAGCUUGAGGAGGAAAAACAAACCACAAGGUCAUUUCGAUACUCUACUCUUUAGGCUUUACCUGGACACUAAGAAGAUAAUCAAAGAUUACAAAGCAGAAUAUGAGGAGGGAGGUUUGUGGUUUGGUACGUAUUGUAGCUUCAGAUUUGGUCUGUCCCAUAGAGUAAAAGUGAUGGUCCCCAGUUCAAAGCAACGAGGUAAGAGUUUUAUCACUGAAUUUGCUGGAUUUAGAAGGAUUCAUCGUUUCAAUAUGACGCCACUUAUUUAUUGUUUCGGGGUAUUCCAGGCAUGCUCUUGCUUACAAUUCCAAGACAAACGCAUCUCUUUAGAGGCACUGUCCUUGAGAAAUGGUAAAGUUCCUCCAAGCUGUGAGAAAAUCCAAGGGGUUUUUCCCGAGGAUUCUCCAUGUAUGGCCCCGUUGGGUUGAACCGUACGGGUUAGAAGGUGGAGUGGACUGAGUUGGCUCAACCAUCUUGGAAUAUGGAUUCAGCGUCAAGGAUUCGGCUGCACCAUGUUGGAGAUGGACUGACUGGCCCAUGUGUUCUGUAAGGGAGUCCAAUGGGCACCCAUGCAAUAAAAGCCCGUGUGACGUGCUCUUGGAGAUCAAAACAUGAUCCGUACAAUACAACUUACUGCCGACCUACGCCACAGGUCGUGGCGCUGGCACCCGUAGGGUCUAGAGACCACAUAUUCAAACUGAUAAUUACAGUAUUCAUUCCUGUCACCAAUUUCGAAAUGGCCCACCCAAGAAACAUGUGGAGCUUUCACCCAAAAUAUUGCGUUUUAAAAAAAAAUUUCAAAAAAUAAAGUUGUUUUAAAAAUAAUGUACGAUGUAAUAAAUAUAUACCACAUAAGCUGUCAUGGCAUAAAACUGUAGUUGAUGACUACGGUUUUAUUUUUUUAAAAUGGUUAGAAACCGUAGUUACCAACCACGGUUUUAACUUUAAGUUUAAAGCCGUAGUUGGUGACUACGGCUUUGACAUUUUUUUAAAAUGGUCAAAGUCAUAGUUACCAACUACGAUUUUAACUUUAUAUAUAUUUAUAUAUAACUUUAAUUUUUUUAAUAAAAAUAUUAUAUUAUUUUGAUUUUAAAUAUACUUAUUUCAUUAUUUUAAAAAUAAUAAUAUAUGAAAUUAAAUAAAUGAUAUUUUUAAUUUGAUAUAAAUAUAUUUUUAAAUUUUAUUAAAAUAAUAUAUUCUAUAUUUAAUAUAAAUAUAUUUAUUUAAUUAUAUUUAAAUAUAAAUAAAAUAUAAUAAAUUAUGAAAGCCUAUUAAAAAACAAAUAAUAUAAAUUAUUAUAUUAAUUAAUAAUUUUUUAUAUACUAUAUGUAAGUGGUAUAUAAUGUCACAUGUAUAUAAGUUCAAUUAAGUUUAAAAUUUAUCAUAUUUUAAUUUAAGUUCAUAAUAUUAUAUCGAUAUGAUAAUAAUUUAUUUAUAUAUUUAAAUAAAUAUGCUAAAUUUUAAACUUAAAUUAAAAUUAUAUAUAUAUAUAUAUAUGUGUGUGUGAUAUUAUAUACUAUUUACAUAUAAUAUAUAAAAAAAUUAUUAAUUAAUAUAAUAAUUCAUAUUAUUUUUUUCUCCAAAUAGGCAUUUAUAAUUUAUUUAUUUUAAAUAAACAUAAUUUAUUAUAUUUCAUUUAUAUUUAAUUUUAAUUAAAUAAUUAUAUUUAUAUUAAAUAUAGUGUCAAUUGUUUUAAUAAAAUUUAUUUAUAUAUUUAAAAAUAAUGUGAUAAAUUUUAAACUUAAAUUAAACUUUUAUAUAUAUAUAUAUAUAUAUAUAUAUAUAUAUGUGUGUGAGAGAGAGAGGUAUUAUAUACCACUUAUAUAUAAUAUAUAAAAAAAUUAUUAAUUAAUAUAAUAAUUUAUAUUACUUUUUUAUUUUUCUAAAUAGGUAUUUAUAAUUUAUUUAUUUUAAAUAAAUAUAAUUUAUUAUAUUUUAUUUUAAUUAAUUAAUUAUAUUUAUAUUAAAUAUAGUGCCUAUUGUUUUAAUAAAAUUUAAAAUAUAUUUUUAUAUCAAAUUAAAAAUAUCAAUUAUUUAAUUUCGUAUAUUAUUAUUUUUAAAAUAAUAAAAUAAGUAUAUUUAAAAUCAAAGUAAUAUAAUAUUUUUAUUAAAAAAAUUAAAAUUAUAUAUAAAUAUAUAUAAAGUUAAAACCGCAGUUGGUGACUACGGUUUUGACCAUUUUUAAAAAAAAAAAUCAAAGUCGUAGUCACUAACUACGACUUUAAACUUAAAGUUAAAACCGUGGUUGGUAACUACGGUUUCUAACCACUUAAAAAAAUAAAACCGUAGUCACCAACUACAGUUUUAUGACAUGGCAGUUUAUGUAGCACAGACGCAUUAGAUCGGUCAUUAUUUUCAAAGCAAUUUUAUUUUUUGGAAUUUUUUUUUAAAACACACUAUUUUGGGUCAAAGCUCAAUGGCCAUCAAACGGGGAAUCACGUGAUGAGAAAUUGAAGAGAAGAAUUAAAAACAAAAAAUAAAUAAAAAGAAGAAAAGGAAAGGUCAAUACCCCUCAAUCAGUUUCAAGAAAAGGGCAUGUGUUAUGAGCAAUGCACUGAAACGCGAACCAUUUCAGCCCUCCAAAGGACAACACAAGUUAAUAGCCCGUGUGGUCCCAACCUUCUGGAAAUACGAUUCCUCCCACCAAAUCUUGGUAAUCAAAAUAAAAUGGGUUAUCAUCUUCAACUGCUUUGCAUGCCUAAUGAACAUUGUUUUCGAUUACCAGUAUAGUUAGUUCUCUCAUUAACAUUUCUUCAGGAUCAAGGAUAUUGUUUUCAUUGACUUGCUCCUAUUUUGCAUUUGUUGAUGGAGAUACACAACGCACACACAUUAAUCCUAAUCUUAAAAAAUGGUAUUAAAUCUGUUCAAGGAAGCUAAGCAGGAAGAGCAUAAAACCUUGCAUUCACAGCAUUGUCGAUUUGUGAUUUAGCCCGGAUGCUUCUGAAAGCAUUAUGGAUAGGUUCGAAGCCCUCAGAAAUUAGACUAAUGCCAUGUUUACGUCAUCAUUACUAGCUUUCACACCAAAAUUCCAAAAAGAUAAACGCUAUGGUAUUAGUUUAAUGUUUAUCUCAUUGCCACCACACUAGUCAUCUAGAAGGUUUUACUGCUUUGAAUGGCUGCACAGGGUUUACACAAUAGAAGUAAAAAAAUGGGGCCUCUUCGCUGAAGCAUAAUUGGACUCUUGUGAGUCUAACCAUUAAUCUGGAACUGGAAAGCUGCCCUCUUUUAUUUAACUCCUAUAAUGAAGAUAAUGAUCCGAGACAUCAAUGUUUUCAACGAAAACUGGAUCGCUACACUUGGAUGUCCAGCAAAUUUUCAAUUUAAAUAAUGUACAAGACAAUCAAGGAGGUGAAAAAAAUUGAUGAAGCGAAUCAACAGUUUCUGAUACCAAUUUCAGGCACAUACGGCAUGUGCAAAUAUCUAGAUAUUUUAAUCCCAAAUAAAAUAAUGGUUCCUUUUUUCGUUUUCUUUUGUUUGACGUAUGCAUCAGGAACGGAACAUAUCUUAUAUUAUUUUGAUUCCAAAUUUCAAAUGAAGACGAGAUUCCAUAACUGAAUUGUCAACACGACCUUUGGGACUGAUGAACCUUAUUCAAACAAUGAUGAAAGGCAAAUUUUUGUAUUGAUAUAAUACAACUAGCCAACUGUAUGGGUGUAAGGAUCAAGGAAGACUAGGAAAUUUCGAAGGAUGAGACUACAACCCCAUCAGAAUGCCUUCUGGACCCACACUAUUUUAGUUCGUGGCAGUCAAAUCGCAAUAUAAUAGACGUAGGGAAGGACCCAAUGUUAUCACUAUAAUUGACUCUUAUUUCGUCGUCAUGCACCGCCUCAAAAAACCCGAAUUCCUCUUGGCACUGCGACUUCAAGGGAGAAGGAGAAGGAGUAGGAGAGGGGAGAGGGGAGAGGGGAGAGGGAGGGAGAGCUACCAACCGAACAGUGGAGAUGGAAGCUCAGCUGAGCAGCAACAUGAGGAAGGCUCUGCUGGUUCUGAAUUGUGUCAUUCUCUCAAUUGGAAACUGCGGUGGUCCCAUGGUGAUGCGCCUGUAUUUCGUCCGUGGCGGCGAGAGAAUAUGGUUUUCCAGUUGGUUGGAAACGGCUGGGUGGCCCUUGAUCCUAGUCCCUCUCAUCAUCACUUACAUCCACCGCCGAACCAAGCAAGGCUCCCAUGCCAAGCUCUUCUUCAUGAAACCUCCUCUGUUCGUGGCCUCCGCUGUUAUCGGUGUCCUCACCGGCUUCGAUGACUACCUCUACGCCUAUGGCGUAGCAAAACUGCCCGUUUCAACAUCUGCUCUCAUUAUCGCAAGCCAGCUCGCUUUCACAGCAGCCUUCGCGUUCCUCUUGGUGAAACAAAAGUUCACCUCAUACUCCGUAAAUGCCAUAUUUCUGUUGAGUAUCGGUGCCGGUGUCUUGGCUUUACACACUAGCUCCGACCGCCCUGCUAAUGAGUCCAACAAAGAAUAUUAC
RNAcentral lists this long non-coding RNA (31023 nucleotides) under Vitis vinifera (wine grape). RNAcentral describes it as "long non-coding RNA (VVIN_LNC005948)". The record is from RNAcentral. Lineage: Eukaryota; Viridiplantae; Streptophyta; Magnoliopsida; Vitales; Vitaceae.